Molecule: ribosomal RNA, 992 nt
Filed under: Phyllachora sp.
Lineage: Eukaryota; Fungi; Ascomycota; Sordariomycetes; Phyllachorales; Phyllachoraceae
Description: SSU rRNA
Rfam family: Eukaryotic small subunit ribosomal RNA
Source: RNAcentral
CUGCGAAUGGCUCAUUAAAUCAGUUAUCGUUUACUUGAUAGCACCUUACUACAUGGAUAACCGUGGUAAUUCUAGAGCUAAUACAUGCUAGAAAACCCCAACUGCACGGACGGGGUGUAUUUAUUAGAUUCAAAACCAAUGCCGCGUCUCCGGGGCUUUAUGGUGAAUCAUGAUAACUUCUCGGAUCGCACGGCCUUGCGCUGGCGAUGGUUCAUUCAAAUUUCUGCCCUAUCAACUUUCGAUGGCUGGGUCUUGGCCAGCCAUGGUGACAACGGGUAACGGUAGGGUUAGGGCUCGAUCCCCGGAGAAGGAGCCUGAGAGACGGCUACUACAUCCAAGGAAGGCAGCAGGCGCGCAAAUUACCCAAUCCCAACUCGGGGAGGUAGUGACAAUACAUACUGAUACAGGGCUCUUUUGGGUCUUGUAAUUGGAAUGAGUACAAUUUAAAUCCCUUAACGAGGAACAAUUGGAGGGCAAGUCUGGUGCCAGCAGCCGCGGUAAUUCCAGCUCCAAUAGCGUAUAUUAAAGUUGUUGAGGUUAAAAAGCUCGUAGUUGAACCUUGGGCCUGGCCGGCUGGUCCGCCUUUCACCGCGUGCACUGGACCGGCCGGGGCUUUCCUUGUGGGGAGCCGCUAUGCCCUUUAUUGGGUGUGCCGGGGAACCAGGACUUUUACUCUGAACAAAUCAGAUCGCUUAAAGAAGGCCUAUGCCUGAAUGCUCUAGCAUGGAAUAAUAGAAUAGGACGCGCGGUUCUAUUUUGUUGGUUUCUAGGACCGCCGUAAUGAUUAAUAGGGACAGUCGGGGGCAUCAGUAUUCAAUUGUCAGAGGUGAAAUUCUUGGAUUUAUUGAAGACUAACUACUGCGAAAGCAUUUGCCAAGGAUGUUUUCAUUAAUCAGGAACGAAAGUUAGGGGAUCGAAAACGAUCAGAUACCGUUGUAGUCUUAACCAUAAACUAUGCCGAUUAGGGAUCGGAAGGUGUUAGGUGGGAUUCU